Molecule: long non-coding RNA, 1554 nt
Organism: Acipenser ruthenus (sterlet)
Lineage: Eukaryota; Metazoa; Chordata; Actinopteri; Acipenseriformes; Acipenseridae
Exons: 4
Source: RefSeq, a predicted model, not a curated record
GACCAAAACAAAACCCAACACGAGCCAGCCUGAGCACAGACAUGCUAAGAUCACUGGUAACGCACAAAGUCAUGAUGUCAGCGAAGCAGCAAGUGUGUCACACACAAACCUUUACACCUUGCUCAGGAAAGCCAAGUCAGUCACCUAUGAAGCUAAACAUUCAAGAUCUGAAAGUGCAGUUUGACCUGUUGGAUUCCUUUCUGUUCCAAACAACUCACUUUGUGGAUAGCUAUUACAUUUGGUGCUGACUCACUGACUAUUUACAAGGUUUUAUUUCCAUUUUUUGAAAGUGCUUUGUUUCUCUGUUUUUAGAAGCUUAUACAUUUCAAUUUGUUUUGUUUUGACAGUAAAUAAAAUACCAACAUACUACAAAAAUGUACUUUUCUGUACUUAAAAUAAUUUUCAGUUGGUAUAAAUUAAAAAGGUUUCAUCUAUACUAAGGUAAACAAAAUUAAAUUUAAACUUAAACAAUCAUAUCUAAUCUCAUUAUUUUUUUACUGAUAAUUUCAUCCUCAGAACUCUCCAGAGUGUAGCAUCUAGCUGUUUGAUACUCUAAAGCAAUUCUGAGGGGAAGCUGAGAUGUCCUCGUGAAAGAGUGCUACUCAAAAUGAAAUGUCAAGGUUGGCAGGUCUGGGGCGUUGAGGUCACAUUCCCUCUGGGCUCAAUACAGCCUAAAGGCAGGAAAGGAAAAAAGCCUUUUCAGGGUCUUGGCCUCUGCAGAAUCAUUUCCACUAAUUCUGUUUUCUCUGUAUAUUCAUAUAUAUUUAGAUUUGCCAUUUUCAUAUUUCUUGUAUUCCAAUAUUGUAAUUUAAGGCUCAUCCAGGUAGAUUGUCUAAUUUUGUUCAUGACAAUAUGUAAAUUCAUAUCGAGGGAAGACUUUUUCAUUCAAUUGUUAACAUAAAUGAAAAAGCUGCUGAAAAUGAGCAUUGUACAGUUUAAUUUGAAUGAUCUUGAACAAAGCUUUUGGGAUGAUGUUUUCGGCCGUUUAGACUCUUAUUUUCAGGGUUAUUAAUCUCUGUCUCCAGCUCUUUUGUUUUGUAGAAGCAGUUUAUGGGCCGGACAGACGUGUGAAGGCCAGCGAUGUGGAAGACCUCAUCGCAGAGACGCUGAGAUUCGCGCCUCACACAGGAGGAAAGGAACGACAGGCAACUUCGUGGAACUGAUAGUGAAGUCGGGCAAUCAUUCCUCUGAGGGUACAGCAAUGCAGAAUGAGAGAAACUAUGAGGACUGUUGAUCCAAUUGGGACACUUUUGCGAAGACUUGGCAUGAACGUUACCCAACGAAGAGCCUACAGUGUUCCUUCUCCUUUGUCACUCUGGCACAUAGAUGGGAAUCAUAAGUUAAUUCAAUGGAGGAUAGUCAUUCAUGGCGGCAUUGAUGGCUACAGUAGAAAAAUAGUGUAUCUGAAAGCCAGCAACAUCAACAGAGCUUGUACAGUUUUUGAAAGCUUUGUUGGAGCUGUAUAUCAGUUUGGCUUACCAUCGCGAGUCCGAAGUGACAAAGGCCUUGAAAACAUUGAAGUGGCUCGAUUUAUGCUGGAGCAUCCUCGUCGUG